UAGGGAAUCUUCCACAAUGGGCGAAAGCCUGAUGGAGCAACGCCGCGUGUGUGAUGAAGGGUUUCAGCUCGUAAAACACUGUUGUAAGAGAAGAAUGACAUUGAGAGUAACUGUUCAAUGUGUGACGGUAUCUUACCAGAAAGGAACGGCUAAAUACGUGCCAC
Molecule: ribosomal RNA, 164 nt
Filed under: uncultured bacterium
Lineage: Bacteria
Description: partial 16S rRNA
Rfam family: Bacterial small subunit ribosomal RNA
Source: RNAcentral